GCGAACGUUAGCGGCAGGCUUAACACAUGCAAGUCGAGCGAGAAAGGGGCUUCGGCUCCGAGUAAAAGCGGCGGACGGGUGCGUAACACGUGGAUAAUCUGACCUCGUGGCGGGGGACAACAGUCCGAAAGGACUGCUAAUACCGACAUGUCAAGGUCGGAAACUCCGGUUUCUGACGAAAAAGAGGGGCGUCCGCAAAGGAGCUCUCACCACGAGAUGAGUCCGCGUCCCAUCAGCUAGUUGGCGGUGUAAUGGACCACCAAGGCUUAGACGGGUAGCUGGUCUGAGAGGAUGACCAGCCACACUGGGACUGAGACACGGCCCCAGACUCCUACGGGAGGCAGCAGUGGGGAAUAUUGGACAAUGGCGAAAGCCUGAUCCAGCCAUGCCGCGUGAGUGAUGAAGGCCUCGGUC
Molecule: ribosomal RNA, 414 nt
Filed under: uncultured bacterium
Lineage: Bacteria
Description: bacterial SSU rRNA
Rfam family: Bacterial small subunit ribosomal RNA
Source: RNAcentral